GAUGAACGCUGGCGGCGUGCCUAACACAUGCAAGUCGAGCGAGAAAUAAAGGAAUGAAGCUUCGGUAGAUUUUCUUUAUGGAAAGCGGCGGACGGGUGAGUAACGCGUAGGCAACCUGCCCUGUACAGGGGGAUAGCCACCCGAAAAGGUGAUUAAUACCCCAUAACGCAAGAGAUACACAUGUAUCACUUGUCAAAGAUUUAUCGGUAUAGGAUGGGCCUGCGUCUGAUUAGCUAGUUGGUAGGGUAACGGCUUACCAAGGCAACGAUCAGUAGCCGACCUGAGAGGGUGAUCGGCCACAUUGGAACUGAGACACGGUCCAAACUCCUACGGGAGGCAGCAGUGGGGAAUAUUGCACAAUGGGCGCAAGCCUGAUGCAGCAACGCCGCGUGAAGGAUGAAGGCCUUCGGGUUGUAAACUUCUGUCCUAGGGGAAGAAACAAAUGACAUUACCCUUGGAGGAAGCCCCGGC
This 471-nucleotide ribosomal RNA is filed under the name [Eubacterium] sulci. RNAcentral's name for it is "bacterial SSU rRNA". It matches the Rfam family "Bacterial small subunit ribosomal RNA", at positions 28 to 497 of the family's 1533-position model. Lineage: Bacteria; Bacillati; Bacillota; Clostridia; Peptostreptococcales; Anaerovoracaceae. The record is from RNAcentral.